CAACGCGUUGUGAGCGGUUGUGUUGAGAGUACUUGUGCGGUUUUAUAAAUAAGGCGGCUGCCAGCAAACCUGAGUUAAAGAAAUAAAUCAAUCACAGCGUAGUACAUUUCUGCGCAACUGCGUUCAAACCAACUAGGGAAGAGAGCAAAACGCGUGAAAACGGUGGAACAGAAGAAAGGAAUAAUUUAAAUUUUUCAUGGUUUGAGUUAUUUCACCCAGUGUACAUUAGUUUUUGAAGCAUAAGCGUAAAAAAAAAAACGAUUGCUAUCGAAAAAAGUGCGGUAAAAGCUAUAACUUAAAAUAUAAAAAGAUCCAAAACUUGUGAGUGUGCAAUAUACAUACUACAUAUAUACAGACGUACAUAUUACAUACAAAACAAAAAAGAUUGAAACAUCGAACUAAAAAAGUGUUCCAAAAAGCCUCUGCAGCAACAAAACCAACGAAGUACAUCCAUCACAAACAGUUUCGGUUGAAAAUUUUACAUCAGCUCAGAGUCGCAUUUUCAAACACCUCGUAAGUUGCAUUUAAAUCGCCACCAUUGCUCCCCAACCAGUAAGCAGUACAAUGAAUGGUCAAAGCUAUGAGCUGAACCAUACGAACGGUGAUAUUAUAUCACAAAAUCAGCAAAAGGGCUGGUGGACAAUCGGUCUCAUCAAUGGCGCACACAGGUACAUGACGGCCGAGACAUUCGGUUUCAAAUUGAAUGCGAACGGCGCAAGCCUGAAGAAGAAACAAUUGUGGACAUUGGAGCCAUCGAAUACCGGCG
Rhagoletis zephyria (snowberry fruit fly) is the source of this 766-nucleotide long non-coding RNA. RefSeq lists it as uncharacterized. The record is from RefSeq and is a predicted model, not a curated record. Lineage: Eukaryota; Metazoa; Arthropoda; Insecta; Diptera; Tephritidae.